GAGCUCUCUUCACAGCACAUAUACUAAAAUUGGAACAAUAAAGGGAAGAUUAACAUGGCCUCUUGUACAGGAUGACAUGCAAACUCGUGAAGUGUCCCAAAUCUUU
This 106-nucleotide small nuclear RNA is filed under the name Sciurus vulgaris (Eurasian red squirrel). The record is from RNAcentral. Lineage: Eukaryota; Metazoa; Chordata; Mammalia; Rodentia; Sciuridae.